This is a non-coding RNA of Anas platyrhynchos (mallard), 6264 nucleotides long. NCBI's taxonomy places the organism in Eukaryota, Metazoa, Chordata, Aves, Anseriformes, Anatidae. The record is from RefSeq and is a predicted model, not a curated record.
GUGCAAAUCAUUUUUUAGAAUAAGAGUAAGUUGAAUGUAGACACGUUGACAGGCUUUUAACUGGAAAGUGGUUAGCAGAGCCUUCCUCUCCCAUACAAUGGUUCAAAUUCUUUCUAAAACAUGUAUUCUAUCUUAAAUGGUUAAAACAUUUCGUUACUAGGUCUGUGACUCUGCAUGCCUCUGUGCACAUUUGCAAAUGCUGAGGAAUAAACAGAAGUGUGUAUCUAGUGGCUUUAUACAUAUUUUGAGAUUUGGACCACUGUUGCUGCAGAAAGCAAUGUCUCUAGAGGGUCAAGAUGAACAAGAGGGUGUUGAAGAUUAAACUCUGUCUUGUGGAAUUAUUAGCAUGAUUAAAUAGAGCCAUUCGUAGUGGUGAAUAGAAAAUUGAAUGAGUUAAGGCAUUUGUAUUUCAAAUAGUUUAAAUCUGUAUUUAUUUGUGCAUGAUCUGAGUGUGGUCAUAAUUUCUCCCAUCAGAGGAUGGGGCUGGCUAAUUUCUGAAGGAGGACUGGUGAUUAGGAGAACUGCUUUUGUGACACUAAGCAAUGUAGAGUUUCUGUGUCUUUCUGGCUUUGUCUUACUCUCAAAUGACAAUGAGCACUUUCAGAUUUAUUUUAAAAUCUUUGAGGAUAGUGGUGACUUGUAAAAUUUUUAAAUUGGAAAACCAAAUUUUGGAAAACCAAACUGAGUAUUUGGCUGACGAGAGCUCUUAUUUAGUCCAUAUAAUUUUGUUAUAAACCAGCGUGACUUGAAGGUUUGCUUUUGUUGGUCUACAUCUGUCUUUCUGUGUUGUGGCAUCUGAAGAGUUUCAGUAAAUCCAUAAUUGGAUGCAACUGUCUCCCCACAGAAGAACUAUUUUGGAGUCUUUGCUAGCAGUGCCAAUUGUGUGGAUAAAAGUGAAAUAUUUCAUGUAAUGUCUCAUCCGGUCAGAAAAAAUGAAGAAUGGUUUGAACAGAUCCUUCUAGGAAAACAACUCUCUGAUUUGUACAUGGAGAAUGAGAUCUAUCCUGUAGAAGUUUCUGGUUUUGUAAAAACACCCUGUUGGUUGUGACUGUGGUAAUAGGGGCAAGUGCACCAGCACAUCUGUAUCAUCUGCUGUGAAGAAUGAUCCUGUAUAGGACUUCAAAGUGGAUGCAAAGUUUCCUUUUUAAUAAACUUAAAUUAUAGUUCCACUCAUGCAUACAGUUCUAUUAGCCAGUACUUAGCUUAGUACUUUCAAUUAAUGAUUGCUGAUUUGUUAAUACUACUAUGUUCUCUGACAAUCCCAUAGGCGAGCUAUGGAAGUUAAUUGUUUAAUAUUAUGACGAGAAUGUGUAAAACUAGGUAGGAAAUUGAACUCAUGGAGCAGUCCUUAUUAUCUUGGAUCGUGAGGUGCAGAAUUCAUUUGUUAAGUUUUCAAAUGAGAGUGACGUUGGGAGCAGCUAUAAGCAUGAGGCAGAAUAUUGGAAUUCAGAAGGACCAAGGCAAGCCAGAGAAGUGAUGGGCAGGUGUCCCUCUCCGUGGCAGGGGCAUUGGAACUAGGUGAUCGUUAAGGUCCUUUGCAAUUCAAACCAUUCUGGUGAUUCUGUGUUAUAGCAAACAGGAUGCAACUGAGAGAGAAGAUGUGGUUUUGCAUUUGGAGAUAAAUUAGCUACACAACAACACGAUGAGGAGCAAUUGGUAUGGUCAAAGUAGGAGGCAAUAUCUUUUUUUUUUUCCCAAAAAAGUGCUUCUGAAUAGAAAUGAAAGCAGCACUCAUCCCUAAGUCUGUCCCAGACUUGUAGCAGCAAGGGCUGCAGUUUAUUAGACUUCAGUCUAUGGGCACUUGGAGGCAGUUGAAGCUUUUUUGGAUUCAUUGUCCUUUAACAGUACAUAGUGUAUGUUGCUCAUGGGCCAGGUGACCCCUGCUGGCUGCUUAGAGCAUUUGGUCACUGAGUUACCUGUUCAUGAAGAUGGCCUUGGUGUCCCAGUUGCUUGUUGCUUGCCAGAAGGCACAUAAAAGGUGACUUUGCUAUGCUUUCUGCAAGUCCUGGGCCAUUUUUUACUUGUAAUAAGCCAUAUGUUGUCCACUCUAGGCAGCAAGCCUGUGCCCAAAAGAAGGUAAGCAGAUUUGGCUAUGCUGUGAUCUCUCCCUUGGCAGUCUCAGUAUCUUACCAAACUUGGAUCAAGUGUGCAUGGUCCAUUAACUGGACUAAAUCAAGUAUUUCCCAGCCUUUAUAUUAAACUAUUAAUAAUAUACAUAUGUAUGUAUAUAUUUCCAAGAAUGGCUUGAAAAUAAAUCCUAUCAAGUGUCUGACGUUAAGUUCUGUCAGUUUAAAUAUCCACAUUAACUGUGACUGCUCUUGUAUCUCUCUAAGAACUCAAACAUUUGUUUAAUCGAGGUUGAUUACAGGAAAUCACUUUUAAUCCCCAGAUUAUGGUGCUAUUUAUAAUGUUAAAUAUUCCCUAGCAAAUCUUCUUCAUGGUCUUUUAAAAGAUCAUUGCUGUUUGUGCAUGUGCCAACACCAUACCACUAAAUGUGAGGUGCCUGCCAACCUGUUGCAGCUGUUAGCUCUAUAGCUAUAUAGAUAAAGCUGUAUAGCUGUAUGUAGCGAUUAGGUCCUCUGUUUGUAGCGACAAAACUUGCUUUUGUUGCCAUCACUGUAAAUGCCUGUGUUUUACCAGCUCUGCUAAUGGCACCGUCUCUGCUGUUGCCACCCGUGAGCAGUGAGCGUUACUGGGGCUGUCCCAUCUGCAGUGGUGAUACCACUGGCAGUUUUUCUGUGCAGUCUGGAUUUCAUUCCAAAGCUUAUAUGUACCAAGCACUGUCCUGGUCAGGAAAUACUCUGAAACAGUGGUUGAAGGCUUGAAGUGGAGCAGGGUUGAUUUAGGGAAGAAGUUUAGAGAAGCUUUUUAAUGCUAAAGCAAGGUAGGUACUGAGUUAAUGAUGCUCUGCCAGGGAUCACCAGAAGUUUUUUUUUCUUUCAGCAAACCUGGAGUUGAAUUAUAAGAUCCUCCCUAUCAUCUGCUUGUUGUGUGGCAUGCAGGUGGGAACGUGCCCAAGUUCACCCACUUCAGCUUCCUCAGUAAACAACCCCAGCUGACAAGUUAUUCGUGGAGCCACUGUGGUGUAACUCAACUUCACAUCACAUUUGAUCAUUUUGCAGUUCACAGGAUGCACGUUCAGCAUCCUUUCUUCCAGGUACUCUCCCAGCUUCACACCUGCAUCAAGUUCUCUUUUGAAAGCGUAGGAUAACCACCGCUUCAUAUUCAGCGAGACUGGAUGUGACCGACUCUAACUAUUGGCAGGAAAUGCUGGUCUUUGGUAACAGGAAGCAAACAGAUUUUGCAAUCAUUACAAUAAACAUGUUCCUAUGGAUCCCAGUGGUUUUCCUCUAGAGGCUUCUCUGGAAAGCUUCCUGUUAAAGCCUUCCGAAGACAAGCCAGACUAGUGUCAGCGUUUACAAGCCACUGCCAGAACUGAUACAGGAGAUGAGAUUUCCUGGGUCUCAUUUGGUGACAAAUCAAUGUAGAAGCUAUUGAGAAAAUUCUGGAGGAGAAGGACCUGAUCCAGCUCCCAGAAAGGCUUCUGUUAGCAACGGCGAACUGGACAGACUUCCUUGUGUGAUUCCACACAAGAACUAGCACUGUUCCAGGAAAUAACUCUUUGGACAGCAGAGCAAGCACUUCUAAAGCCACUAUCUGGACAUCACAUUUGUUCAGCAGAUUUUUCAGGGCAGCCAGAAGCCAUCAAAGCUGGUGAAUGUAAAUGUUCAGCAGGGAUCUCAAGGAACAAGUUCCGGUUAGAGUAGCUAAUUUUGGAGCAAAAUCUUGCUGAUGGAUAGUGAGUAUUGCAGCCUGUAAGGGAGAAUUUUGCCUGUUGUUGGGGAGGGGCUUUAUAGCUUUGAGUUGGCAUUUAAUUGGCAAUGCCAGUGUGUUCAAAAUACGCAGUGCUCAAGAGGCAUUUGGACAAUGUCCUCAUUACUAUGCUUUAACUUUUGGGUAGCCCUGAAGAGGUCAGGCAGUUGAACUCUGAUCUUUGCAGGUUCCUUCCAACUAACUGUUCUUUUCUUCUCUUCUCAAGUGGUGUCUUCCACUGGAAUUUUACUGUUUUCUGUUUUGGCAGUAGGAAUACCCCAGACCUUCCAGAUUCUUGUGACAAUUAUAUCCCCUUUCUUAAAGGGAUUCUGCCUCUUAUCUCCACUUCUGUGGAAUUCAGUUGCUCAAAGAAAGACAUACAGCCACUCUUUGAGAGAUCCGGUUUACUCAUGGAUUCUGUGCUUUGUCUCUUCUUUCUCUGUCACCAUUUUCUUCUAGAAAUCUUCUCUUGUUCCUUAGCUAAAUGUUUUUCAAAGCCAGCUUCCCUUUUGUCAGUACUACAUGGUUGAAACCAGUCAAAUUUUGAGUUUAACAAAAAUGGAGUAUGAUGUCUGGGGACCUUGCUACAAGAAAAGUGUCGGCAAACUGGGAAGAGUCCAGUGCAGCAGCAAUGAGGUGAAAAGGAGUCGGAGCAUUUGACACACAAGGAGAAACCAGGGGAACUGGACUUGUUCAGCCUACUGAGGAGGAGGACUGGGGAAGAGGGAGGUCUAAUAGCAGCCUUCUGCCACCUGUGGAGAGAUUAUAGAGAAGAACUACACUUUUCUUGGAGGUGCAAAGAAAAAUGAACAUGGAAGUGAUGAGCACAACAUGCAACAAGGAAAAUCUGACCUGGGCAUAACAGGGACAAUUCUUCACCAAGAGAAUGAUGCAACUUUGAGAUAGAGUCCAGAGAGGUUGUGGAUGCUCCAUCCUGGGAGAUUUUCAAAAUUUGACUGUAUGAGACCUUGAGCAGCCUAAUACAGUUUUGAGAUUAGCCUUGCUUGAAAUAGAAAGUUAGGCCUAAUGACCUUCAGAUGUGCCUUUCAAUCUAUUUUUUUUCCAUAAUUCUCUAUAAUUGCUAAGAAGACAGCAUUUCAGUACCUGGAAGUUCAGUAAAUUGCAGUUACUUCUCAUGGCAACUCUGAGCUGUAACAAGAUAUUCAUAAAAUUCUGUCAGCAAAUCUCUUCUUAAAAACAGGUAUUUUUUAAUAUCAAGAUUAUUCACGAUGGAGUACUGAUUUGUAUAGGUGCAUAAAGGUGGUUGGCAAGUUUUUUUUCCAGGUACUUUAAAAGUACCACGUCUUACUGUUACUUUUUUGAAAUGUGAGAAUAUAAUAGGUUGCUGUAAGCAUUCACUGGAUUAAUGGUAUAAAUAUAUUGGAUGUAAGUUAGGGUAUAAGUUUGCCUAGUAUUAAGUGGUAUGUACAAAUAGGUUUAGCUAUUUUUUUUCCCUAACCCAGUCAGGUAGUUCUUUAUUAUAAAAGGCAUCAUUGGAAACAUUACCUACUAAACAAUCCUGAUUGUAUUUGAUGUCUUCAGCUAAAAUAGUAAUGUUUUAGGUGGAGAAAGGGGACUAAGAGGAAUGAAGAGUAUCCAGUUCUUGGUUUUUGUUUUGAUUUGCAUUGUUAUUCACUUUUCUAGGACGACUGUACUGUCUGCUUGCAGCCCAGUUACCUGAAUUGUACAGGUAAAGAACGUCUCCACAUCUAAAGAAUUUUGUUCUAAUAAAUGGCAUUUUGAAUCUAUCAUUAUUUCUAGGCUUCUGACAUUGUUGAAAUGAAUUCCACCAGAGAAGCUGAUCAGUCAUCGUAGCCACUCAUAUGGAAAAAAUGUUCCAUUUAGUGUGUGAAUUACAAAAGUGAAGUGAAGAGAGAAAGCCCACCAGCACACAUGGAAGACUUCUGUCUACAAAUUCUUCUUCGUACUGGACAGCAUCUCUAGAAUCAUAUAAUCUGAGAUUUGUAGGAAGGAGCCAGUAGGGAUCAGAAUGAUGUCAUUCCCAUAAAAAGAAAAAAAAAAAGAAAGAGGCAGAACAUGAGAAUCAAGAUUGAAGAGCUGUUUUUCACAUCCCUUGCUUGAUACAAUCAAAUGGUAGAGCAAUAUCACCACUUCUUCAGGGUCUUUAUGUGCAAGACUGAAAGCUUUUCUCAAGCAGAGCAUGUUGUGGAGGUGAAUGGAGGAGCACAAGACAGAUUGCAUGUUCUUCUGUUUGACAGUUCAGACCUAACAGGUCAGGUCUGUAGAUGGAAGUACCAAAGCAUAGCUUAGAGUAGCCCUAAAGCUUCUUUAAGUUGUGCUUGGAAAACAGUUGCUGGACUUGAAAUUUAUUUUAAAAGCAUGUUAAGUUCAUGCCAUCUUUUCUGUAAUUACGGUAUGCAUGGUAUUGUCACAACCAAUGAUUUGACUUCUUCGGUAUUGUUUAUACUUCAAUAAAAUUCCAAAAUAUAA